RNAcentral lists this ribosomal RNA (500 nucleotides) under uncultured Myrionecta. RNAcentral's name for it is "bacterial SSU rRNA". It matches the Rfam family "Eukaryotic small subunit ribosomal RNA", at positions 1210 to 1797 of the family's 1831-position model. Lineage: Eukaryota; Ciliophora; Litostomatea; Cyclotrichida; Mesodiniidae. The record is from RNAcentral.
AAAACUUACCAGGUCAAGACAUGGGCGUGAUUGACAGGCUAAUGACUUUUCUCGAUUCCAUGGAUGGUGGUGCAUGGUCGCACUUAGUUGGUGCAGUGAUUUGUCAGGUUUAUUCCGGUAACGAACGAGACCUCGGCCUUGUAAAUAGCUAUGCUGCUUACAGGGACAUUGGCGGCUACGCCAAGGAAGCUCGAGGCAAUUGCAGAUCUGGAAUGCCCUUAGAUGUCCUGGGUCGCACGCGUGCUACAAUGACGCCACGAACGAGCUUGCGUGAUGAAAGUUACGCAUAAUCAGCAGUCGGCGUCUUAAGGGAUAGUCUCUUGUAACUGUGGGACUCCAACUAGGAAUGUCUCGUAAGCACAAGUCAACAUCUUGUGUUGAUUACGUCCCUGCUCUUUGUACACACCGCCCGUCGCUCCUACCGAUCGAGUGUUUAGGUGAAUUUGAUGGACGUAAGGAAGUCAAAUAAACCUGAGCACUAGAGAAGAGAAGUCGAGCAC